RNAcentral lists this ribosomal RNA (309 nucleotides) under Triticum aestivum (bread wheat). RNAcentral's name for it is "partial small subunit ribosomal RNA". Lineage: Eukaryota; Viridiplantae; Streptophyta; Magnoliopsida; Poales; Poaceae. The record is from RNAcentral.
UUAUAUACAUCUUUAUGGUUGCGUCCAAUAUUUCCAUCAUCCCAGAAUCCAUUGCACAGAAAGUCACUAUCAUGGAAGACCACCUGCAAGUUCAGGACCAACAGUUGGUGCUACCACCGGGGUUUAGGUUCCACCAGACGGAAGAGGAGAUCAUCAAAUUCUAUGUGGUCUCCAAGGUGCAAGAUCAUCUUCGUCACUGCGGCGAUUGAGGAUGUGAACCUCAACAAGUAUGAGCCAUGGGAGCUACCGGAGAAGGCGGAGAUGGGGGAGAAGGAGUGGUACUUUUACUCCCGAAAGGAUCGCAAGUAA